RNAcentral lists this ribosomal RNA (459 nucleotides) under uncultured Streptococcus sp. Its description in RNAcentral is "bacterial SSU rRNA". It matches the Rfam family "Bacterial small subunit ribosomal RNA", at positions 920 to 1382 of the family's 1533-position model. The record is from RNAcentral. Lineage: Bacteria; Bacillati; Bacillota; Bacilli; Lactobacillales; Streptococcaceae.
CCCGCACAAGCGGGGAGCAUGUGGUUUAAUUCGAAGCAACGCGAAGAACCUUACCAGGUCUUGACAUCCCGAUGCUAUUUCUAGAGAUAGAAAGUUACUUCGGUACAUCGGUGACAGGUGGUGCAUGGUUGUCGUCAGCUCGUGUCGUGAGAUGUUGGGUUAAGUCCCGCAACGAGCGCAACCCCUAUUGUUAGUUGCCAUCAUUCAGUUGGGCACUCUAGCGAGACUGCCGGUAAUAAACCGGAGGAAGUGGGGAUGACGUCAAAUCAUCAUGCCCCUUAUGACCUGGGCUACACACGUGCUACAAUGGUUGGUACAACGAGUUGCGAGUCGGUGACGGCGAGCUAAUCUCUUAAAGCCAAUCUCAGUUCGGAUUGUAGGCUGCAACUCGCCUACAUGAAGUCGGAAUCGCUAGUAAUCGCGGAUCAGCACGCCGCGGUGAAUACGUUCCCGGGCCUU